This 162-nucleotide long non-coding RNA is filed under the name Mus pahari (shrew mouse). RNAcentral describes it as "lncRNA (MGP_PahariEiJ_G0005578.1)". The record is from RNAcentral. Lineage: Eukaryota; Metazoa; Chordata; Mammalia; Rodentia; Muridae.
AAACCUGCAGCUCAUCUCUGGCUACCACCAGCAGGAUGCUUCCUGGGUACCCGGUUCUGCAGCAUAGAAGAACGCGAGAAAGGAGAUGGAUGAAGGGCUGGAUGGGGAAUCCGACAAGGCAAGCUCUGCCCAAAGAGGCCCAGUGACCAUCACUUGCCCAGG